UACGGAGGGGGCUAGCGUUGUUCGGAAUUACUGGGCGUAAAGCGCACGUAGGCGGCUUUGCAAGUUAGAGGUGAAAGCCCGGGGCUCAACUCCGGAAUUGCCUUUAAAACUGCAUCGCUAGAAUUGUGGAGAGGUAAGUGGAAUUCCGAGUGUAGAGGUGAAAUUCGUAGAUAUUGGGAAGAACACCGGUGGCGAAGGCGGCGAGCUGGUCCGUAUCUGACGCUGAGGCGCGACAGCGUGGGGAGCAAACAGG
This 253-nucleotide ribosomal RNA is filed under the name uncultured bacterium. Its description in RNAcentral is "partial 16S ribosomal RNA". It matches the Rfam family "Bacterial small subunit ribosomal RNA", at positions 524 to 776 of the family's 1533-position model. The record is from RNAcentral.